GCUGCCCACGCCAUUGGCACUAAUGCAGGCCCAUACCAUCAGAGAUGCAGCUUUUCACCUGUUCACUGAUGAAAAGCCGGAUGCUCCCUCUUCUCUUUAGUCUGCCAGACACGCCGUCCAUGCUUUCCAGAAACUAGUUCACAUUUUCAUCCAGCAGGCCACAGAACGUUCUCCA
This is a long non-coding RNA of Melanotaenia boesemani (Boeseman's rainbowfish), 175 nucleotides long. RefSeq lists it as uncharacterized. The record is from RefSeq and is a predicted model, not a curated record. NCBI's taxonomy places the organism in Eukaryota, Metazoa, Chordata, Actinopteri, Atheriniformes, Melanotaeniidae. The transcript is spliced from 3 exons.